GUGGCGGACGGGUGAGUAACGCGUGGGUAACCUGCCUUAUACUGGGGGAUAACAGCCAGAAAUGACUGCUAAUACCGCAUAAGCGCACAGAACCGCAUGGUUCGGUGUGAAAAACUCCGGUGGUAUAAGAUGGACCCGCGUUGGAUUAGCUAGUUGGCAGGGUAGCGGCCUACCAAGGCGACGAUCCAUAGCCGGCCUGAGAGGGUGAACGGCCACAUUGGGACUGAGACACGGCCCAGACUCCUACGGGAGGCAGCAGUGGGGAAUAUUGCACAAUGGGGGAAACCCUGAUGCAGCGACGCCGCGUGAAGGAAGAAGUAUCUCGGUAUGUAAACUUCUAUCAGCAGGGAAGAUAAUGACGGUACCUGACUAAGAAGCCCCGGCUAACUACGUGCCAGCAGCCGCGGUAAUACGUAGGGGGCAAGCGUUAUCCGGAUUUACUGGGUGUAAAGGGAGCGUAGACGGCGCAGCAAGUCUGAUGUGAAAGGCAGGGGCUUAACCCCUGGACUGCAUUGGAAACUGCUGUGCUUGAGUGCCGGAGGGGUAAGCGGAAUUCCUAGUGUAGCGGUGAAAUGCGUAGAUAUUAGGAGGAACACCA
Molecule: ribosomal RNA, 598 nt
Filed under: uncultured Lachnospiraceae bacterium
Lineage: Bacteria; Bacillati; Bacillota; Clostridia; Lachnospirales; Lachnospiraceae
Description: bacterial SSU rRNA
Rfam family: Bacterial small subunit ribosomal RNA
Source: RNAcentral